UACAGAGGUCUCAAGCGUUGUUCGGAUUCAUUGGGCGUAAAGGGUGCGUAGGUGGCGGGGUAAGUCAGGUGUGAAAUCUCGGGGCUCAACCCCGAAACUGCACUUGAUACUGCCUUGCUCGAGUACUGGAGAGGAGAUUGGAAUUUACGGUGUAGCAGUGAAAUGCGUAGAUAUCGUAAGGAAGACCAGUGGCGAAGGCGAAUCUCUGGACAGUUACUGACACUGAGGCCCGAAGGCCAGGGGAGCAAACGGG
RNAcentral lists this ribosomal RNA (253 nucleotides) under uncultured bacterium. RNAcentral describes it as "partial 16S ribosomal RNA". It matches the Rfam family "Bacterial small subunit ribosomal RNA", at positions 524 to 776 of the family's 1533-position model. The record is from RNAcentral.